Molecule: transfer RNA, 60 nt
Filed under: Carassotrema koreanum
Lineage: Eukaryota; Metazoa; Platyhelminthes; Trematoda; Plagiorchiida; Haploporidae
Description: tRNA-Val
Source: RNAcentral
GGUAAGGUAGUUUAUAUAAAAUGCCUAUUUUACACGUAGGAGAAAGAAUGCUUCUUAUUA